This 422-nucleotide long non-coding RNA is filed under the name Mytilus galloprovincialis (Mediterranean mussel). Lineage: Eukaryota; Metazoa; Mollusca; Bivalvia; Mytilida; Mytilidae. The record is from RNAcentral.
UUUAUUUUGAACAUCAACUUUUUACUUAAACAUAUAAAUUUAUUUUCUAAUCAGUGUAACACGCUGAUCUGGAAUUGUAUUUGCAAGAACAUAAUACUGGGAGAUUUCUUUGACUUGACAAGAACAAAUUUAACAGUGUAUAUUGAAUAUGGGUCAGGUCUUCUUUCAUACUUUUCCCUUUUUUUUACAAAAUCUUAUGAAGCCAAGAAUCUUUUCUAAUAUAAGGUGUAUCCAAGAGUAUUGAGAUACUUUACUGUAAAAGGGCAACACAAAUUAGGGAUGGAUCUUCUUUCAAACAGCAUCCACCAAACUUUAUAAGUUUUUUUUAUUAGUUUCCCUCUUUAUUUCCUCUAGAACCUCAGUCUAGAUUUUUUCCUUAUUUUAAAAAGUUAUCUACUUUGUUUACCAUUUGUAAGUACCAG